GGCUGCUCCGCAGGUGCCUCACCCAGGGUGCCCUAGGUGCUCGGCCAAUGGCCUCUGCGAGCGCCUUGGGAGCCAGCGAUCGGCGGCCCUGUCCGGGAAGCUCCGGGGGGCCCAGGGGGACUGACGAGGCUCCAUGUCCAGCCCAUGCACGGGAAGCAAGUUAAGGAUUAAUGUGAAGCUCAGAAGCAGAUAGUGCCAGACAACGAGCAGUAGUUGGUACACAUUUGGUUAGCGUGGCAGCAUUUCCUUCUCCCACUGCUGCUGAGAUGGCAGAAAUUAGUCGAAUUCAAUAUGAAAUGGAAUACACUGAAGGUAUUAGUCGGAGAAUGAGGGUCCCAGAAAAAUUAAAAGUCGCACCACCAAAGGCUGACCUGGAACAAGGAUUCCAAGAAGGAGUUCCAAAUGCUAGUGUGAUAAUGCAAGUUCCAGAGACGAUUGUUGUAGCAGGAAAUAAUGAAGAUGUUUCGUUUUCAAGACCAGCAGAUCUUGACCUUAUUCAGUCUCCUCCUUUAAAACCUCUGGCACCAAAAACACCACCUCGUGUACAUACACUAAGCGAGAGACCACUAGAUUUUCUGGACUUAGAAAGACCUUCUCCAACUCCUCAAAGUGAUGAAAUCCGUGCAGUUGGCAGGCUAAAAAGAGAAUGUUCUAUGAGUGAAAAUGCUGUCUGCCAAAGUGAACAGCUGGUCAGAAACGAUGCUAUGUAUGGCAUUUCAAAUGUAGAUGCAACAAUUGAAGGAACAGAGGAUGACAUGACUAUUGUAGAUGGAGCUUCAUUAAGACAACAGAUAAUCAAACUAAACAGACGCCUACUACUUCUAGAAGAGGAAAGCAAAGAACAUGCUAAAAGAGAAAUGGUCAUGUAUUCAAUUACUGUUGCUUUCUGGCUGCUUAAUAGCUGGCUCUGGGUUCAGUAA
Molecule: RNA transcript, 920 nt
Organism: Octodon degus (degu)
Lineage: Eukaryota; Metazoa; Chordata; Mammalia; Rodentia; Octodontidae
Gene name: mitochondrial fission factor pseudogene
Exons: 2
Source: RefSeq, a predicted model, not a curated record